GAAUUGUUAAAAAAUCAGCUCCUAUCCUCUAUUCCUAUCUACUAUUCCUUGACCUUUGCGUGAAACGUCACGGGGUUAAGGAUCAGUGGAUAGGAGAAUUAGGAAAAGAGACUGCGGUGCUUUGAGAAUCCGACUGCACUUAUACUAUCCCGUGUAUUGAUGAUGAAGGACGUUACUAAUGUGCAUCUGCUGUGGGGAACUACAGUGUCUAUAAAGCGGACUGCUUAAAGCGCACCAGACUUUGCACCGUACUCUCUGAUGGUGUUGUUUUAUGCUGUAUGAACGUGGACAACAGGGAAACAUAUAUUCUUCAUUACAUAGGUUGGAAUUUAAAUAAAAAAGGUAAUAGAACAUUUUGCUUGGCAAGCAAAAUUUUCUAUUAAUCCAGAUGAAUCCCAAUAGGCUACGUAUGAUUAUAUGAAAUAUUUUAAAAUAAAGCGGAUACAAGCAGCUGAAAUGGGAUUUCUCCGCAGGGUGGCUGGCAUCUCCCUUAGGGAUAAGGAGAGAAGUUCAGUCAUCCGGGAGGGACUCGGAGUAGAACCGCUGCUCCUUCGCGUUGAAAGGAGCCAGUUGAGGUGGUUCUGGCACCUAGUGAGGAUGCCACCUGGGCGCCUCCCUAGGGGGGUGUUCCAGACACGUCCAGCUGGGAAGAGACCGAGGGGUAGACCCAGGACCAGGUGGAGGGACUAUAUCUCUAUAUCUCUAUGCUAAUCCCCCAGUGGUUGAUGUGGCCAGGGAAAGAGAAGUUUGGGGCUCUCUGCUGGAGCUGUUACCUCCGCGACCAUGACAGAUAAGCGGGAGAAGACGGAUGGAUGGAUGGAUGGCUGGAUGGACAAAUUGGCUGAAGAGAUGAAUUGAAGCAGCCUAUUACCAUUGACUGUAUGCAGUACAUCUCCAAAACCCUUGGAAAAAGUGGUCGGAAGGUAUAUGUUUUAUGUGGAAAUGGACCUGCUCCUUUCUUUAUCGGUCUCUGCUCUCUCCUCCUCUGUGAUGGCCCACGGCUGGAUCUUCGCGCUGCCGAAUAUGGUGUAGACGAUAGCCCCGCCCACGUUGAUCCCUGCUGCCACCCAGAACACCUUCCUCCAGCCCGCCAUGGUGUGCUGACAACCACAGAAGAAGAAAUGUAUCAUCAGAUGUAUACCAAUACUUAUACCAAUGACCUGUACUCAGUAACAUAUUUCAACUAUCACAAUAGUACGAUAACCCAAUUAUAACGUUGGGAUUAUUAAAACCAAAUAUAAGAAUAAUGUGAUUUCUCCAUUGUUUUGUAAGAAAGACGGAAAAGAUUAACACAGUGCAGUGCACAUAUGCCUUGUAGUUGUGCAAAGGCUGUUAUUACUCAAGGAUUUAAAAAAUAUAUGUAUAUAUACAAACUAUAACACUAUAACUGUAAAUGAUGAUGUUCAAUAAUCUGAUUAUCCUUUCAUUUAGAAUAGUGUUACAUAAAAGUACAAUAUAGUAAAAAAGGGGGCAUUUUCUGCAAUGUGUACUUCAACUUUUGAACUUUGAAUGCUUACAUAUUUAAAGAAACAUUUUAUAAAUAUAUAUAUAGUUAGUAAAAGCUUUUAACUGGUCAAAUAUUAGCACAGUUAAAGUGUAUUGUUAAAGUAUAAAGAGUCUAUAUUGAAUAAGAUAAGAUGGAACUUGAUUUACCCCCGUGGGGAAUACUAUUUUGUUUAAUAUAGCCUGUGAAUCAGUUCGACAUUUCUUUUUAUCUCUCUGGAUUUCUCUAAAUAUAUAAUAAAUAUAUAUACAUUUACAAUAUUAUAGAUGCUAACUUAAGUAAAUGUAUGACUAUUUAGUGUAAGACUUACUACUUAUAACUUACACCCUCAGUGAAGUAUCCUGUAGCAAUGGGUGCCAGGACUCCAGGAAUGGUCCCGAAUGUGUUGCUGAUUCCCAGAAGGAAUCCUGCAUACCUGCAAAGACAGUGAAAUAGCAAGUCGUUAUUAACCUCAAUGUUAUACUUUCCAUACAGUCAGUUUAUAGUUAUUACAUUUACAUUAAUGUAUGUACGUUUAUGAGUAAGGUGGACCGAAACAGGAACAUUUAACAGAGACUUACUUGGCAACAGUUCUGAUAGUCAAUUCAUUCAUAAAGUCAAUUUCUACCAGUAAUAGAAACGAUUUCAAAUAAACACAGUCUCUUUAGGAAGUAUGUUUACAAGGAUUUUUA
Eleginops maclovinus (Patagonian blennie) is the source of this 2175-nucleotide long non-coding RNA. RefSeq lists it as uncharacterized. The transcript has 3 exons. The record is from RefSeq and is a predicted model, not a curated record. Lineage: Eukaryota; Metazoa; Chordata; Actinopteri; Perciformes; Eleginopidae.